GGAAGUUAGGAGGGCUGGGGCUGAGCAGCCUGGCCUAAAAAGGACAGCUUUCGCUAUUCGGCCAAGUCGUAGUCCAGAAGAAAUAGUUCUCCAGGCCACGACGUAAGGAUGAGUCAACCCCUUUCAAAAGACAUGAAGAGAAAACAACGACCUGAGCCCUAGGACCAUGCCUCAGGACUACCUGGCUUGUUGACUCCUUGCUGUCCCCAGUUCACCUGGCCGUGCUGCUGCUCCAGUUCCAACUGUUCUGCCUGCAGCUAUGGAACCCUGACCUGUUCACCGGACGUGCUACCUGUCCCAGACCUGUUGUCCCAGACCUGCUGGAACCUUGACCUAUUCACCGGACGUGCUACCUGUCCCAGACCUGCUGUUUUCAACUCUCUAGAGACAGCAGGAGCGGAUGAGGAUCCGAGCCAGAGCUGUGUGGACUGUAGCCUAUAUACUGUAGGCAAGGAACUUCUAUAAAAAUAGUCUAAAUCAAAACAAAUGCUACUCUUUAUUACUUUGCAAGUAUGAAUAUUUACUACUUAAAAAUAUCAGAGGAUUGAUUAGUCAGUGCUUCAUCCAUACGAUACUACCUUGUUUGUAAGUGCUUUGUGGGAAGAUGAAACUUUAUGAAUAACCUACCCAGGCUCAGAGAGCAUAACAAUUACGG
Molecule: long non-coding RNA, 655 nt
Filed under: Salmo salar (Atlantic salmon)
Lineage: Eukaryota; Metazoa; Chordata; Actinopteri; Salmoniformes; Salmonidae
Description: lncRNA (ENSSSAG00000109943.1)
Source: RNAcentral